RNAcentral lists this ribosomal RNA (433 nucleotides) under uncultured bacterium. RNAcentral describes it as "partial 16S ribosomal RNA". It matches the Rfam family "Bacterial small subunit ribosomal RNA", at positions 29 to 507 of the family's 1533-position model. The record is from RNAcentral.
AACGAACGCUGGCGGCAUGCUUAACACAUGCAAGUCGAACGAGACGGCCGUGCUUAGUGGCGCACCUCUGCGUGCCGCGGGGUGACUAGCACGUAGGUAAGCAACCCUUGACUUAAGGGUGAGUUCAGGCAGCUGAGUCUCUUCCCACCAAAGAUCUAUUGCCGUUGGAUGGGCCCGCGUUGGAUUCGCCAGUUGGUAGGGUACAAGCCUACCAAGGCGACGAUCCAUAGCUGGUCUGAGAGGAUGAUCAGCCACACUGGGACUGAGACACGGACCAGACUCCUACGGGAGGCAGCAGUGGGGAAUAUUGGACGAUGGGCGAAAGCCUGAUCCAGCAAUGCCGCGUGAGUGAUGAAGGCCUUAGGGUUGUAAAGCUCUUUUACCCGGGAUGAUAAUGACAGUACCGGGAGAAUAAGCUCCGGCUAACUACGUG